GUGCAAAAGAGUUAGCAGGGGAAGUAGUCCUCAUGUUUGUGAUACCACCAAAAGCUUCAAUUAUUUUUAUAGUUAAAAAGUUGAAGGUGUCUCUGGCAACCUUUCAAGUCUCUUACUGGAUGAAGGAAAUAUUUUAACACUCACUAAAGUUUUCACAUCUAUGUCUUUGUUUAAUAUUUUGAGGAUUCCUUUGCUUGAUUUACCGCUGGUGAUCUCAGCAGUGGUCCAGGGCUCUGUGGCUUAUGUUUCCCAGCAGGCCUGGAUUUAGAAUUGCAUUUUGCAGGAAAGCAUUCUCUUUGGCUCUGUCAUGCAAAACCAGUUUUACAAGAGAAUAUUGGAAGCCUAUGCUCUCCUUCUUGAUUUGGAGCAGUUACCAAGUGGAUGGAUAUCAAGCUGCGAUUGCAGAAAGAGGUCUCCGUUGACUUACCCGCGGGCCGGGACAGUAACCAGUCAGGCUGUGGGAGAUAUUGGGCAGCAUUGAGAGAGUGGAUGAAGAAGAGGAUGGGAAUAUAAAUGGGGGCCAGAAGCAUGGUGUAAGUAUGUAUAGAGUCAGGCUGACAUCUACCUCCUAGAUGAUCCCCUGUCUGUAGUUGAUGCGCAUGUGGGAAAGCAGCUUUUGAUAUAGUGAUUGGAUCCUCGGCCCUUUUCCAAAACAAGGAAUGACAAAGAUUUUUGAAUGUCUGACCAUAAAACUGUAUGAUUUCUUCACAAUAUGUGUCAAUGUUUGCUAAUAUUGAGCAUUCUGGAAAAAAUGGUGUAUAAAAGUAUAAGAUAUAUUUAAAGAAGAAAUAUUUAAAUGUCUU
Molecule: long non-coding RNA, 803 nt
Organism: Heterocephalus glaber (naked mole-rat)
Lineage: Eukaryota; Metazoa; Chordata; Mammalia; Rodentia; Bathyergidae
Source: Ensembl